Molecule: long non-coding RNA, 335 nt
Organism: Oncorhynchus tshawytscha (Chinook salmon)
Lineage: Eukaryota; Metazoa; Chordata; Actinopteri; Salmoniformes; Salmonidae
Source: Ensembl
GGGCGUUAGAGUAGAGGGUAGAGUAGAGGGUAGAGUAGAGGGCGUUAGAGUAGAGGGUAGAGUAGAGGGCGUUAGAGUAGAGGGUAGAGUAGAGGGCGUUAGAGUAGAGGGUAGAGUAGAGGGUAGAGUAGAGGGUAGAGUAGAGGGUAGAGUAGAGGGUAGAGUAGAGGGCGUUAGAGUAGAGGGUAGAGUAGGGGUAGAGUAGAGGGCGUUAGAGUAGAGGGUAGAGUAGAGGGUAGAGUAGAGGGCGUUAGAGUAGAGAGUAGAGUAGACGGCAUUAGAGUAGAGGGUAGAGUAGACGGCAUUAGAGUAGAGGGUAGAGUAGAGGGUAGAGU